UCAAGUGAAGAAGCGCAUACGGUGGAUGCCUUGGCAGUCAGAGGCGAUGAAAGACGUGGUAGCCUGCGAAAAGCUUCGGGGAGUCGGCAAACAGACUUUGAUCCGGAGAUGUCUGAAUGGGGGAACCCAGCCAUCAUAAGAUGGUUAUCUUGUACUGAAUACAUAGGUGCAAGAGGCGAACCAGGGGAACUGAAACAUCUAAGUACCCUGAGGAAAAGAAAUCAACCGAGAUUCCCUUAGUAGUGGCGAGCGAACGGGGACUAGCCCUUAAGUGGCUUUGAGAUUAGCGGAACGCUCUGGAAAGUGCGGCCAUAGUGGGUGAUAGCCCUGUACGCGAAAAUCUCUUAGUCAUGAAAUCGAGUAGGACGGAGCACGAGAAACUUUGUCUGAAUAUGGGGGGACCAUCCUCCAAGGCUAAAUACUACUGACUGACCGAUAGUGAACUAGUACCGUGAGGGAAAGGCGAAAAGAACCCCGGAGAGGGGAGUGAAAUAGAUCCUGAAACCGUAUGCGUACAAGCAGUGGGAGCAGACUUUGUUCUGUGACUGCGUACCUUUUGUAUAAUGGGUCAGCGACUUAUUUUCAGUGGCGAGCUUAACCGAAUAGGGGAGGCGUAGCGAAAGCGAGUCUUAAUAGGGCGUCUAGUCGCUGGGAAUAGACCCGAAACCGGGCGAUCUAUCCAUGGGCAGGUUGAAGGUUGGGUAACACUAACUGGAGGACCGAACCGACUACCGUUGAAAAGUUAGCGGAUGACCUGUGGAUCGGAGUGAAAGGCUAAUCAAGCUCGGAGAUAGCUGGUUCUCCUCGAAAGCUAUUUAGGUAGCGCCUCAUGUAUCACUGUAGGGGGUAGAGCACUGUUUCGGCUAGGGGGUCAUCCCGACUUACCAAACCGAUGCAAACUCCGAAUACCUACAAGUGCCGAGCAUGGGAGACACACGGCGGGUGCUAACGUCCGUCGUGAAAAGGGAAACAACCCAGACCGUCAGCUAAGGUCCCAAAGUUAUGGUUAAGUGGGAAACGAUGUGGGAAGGCUUAGACAGCUAGGAGGUUGGCUUAGAAGCAGCCACCCUUUAAAGAAAGCGUAAUAGCUCACUAGUCGAGUCGGCCUGCGCGGAAGAUGUAACGGGGCUCAAACCAUACACCGAAGCUACGGGUAUCACGUAAGUGAUGCGGUAGAGGAGCGUUCUGUAAGCCUGUGAAGGUGAGUUGAGAAGCUUGCUGGAGGUAUCAGAAGUGCGAAUGCUGACAUGAGUAACGACAAUGGGUGUGAAAAACACCCACGCCGAAAGACCAAGGUUUCCUGCGCAACGUUAAUCGACGCAGGGUUAGUCGGUCCCUAAGGCGAGGCUGAAAAGCGUAGUCGAUGGAAAACAGGUUAAUAUUCCUGUACUUCUGGUUAUUGCGAUGGAGGGACGGAGAAGGCUAGGCCAGCUUGGCGUUGGUUGUCCAAGUUUAAGGUGGUAGGCUGAGAUCUUAGGUAAAUCCGGGAUCUUAAGGCCGAGAGCUGAUGACGAGUGUUCUUUUAGAACACGAAGUGGUUGAUGCCAUGCUUCCAAGAAAAGCUUCUAAGCUUCAGGUAACCAGGAACCGUACCCCAAACCGACACAGGUGGUUGGGUAGAGAAUACCAAGGCGCUUGAGAGAACUCGGGUGAAGGAACUAGGCAAAAUGGCACCGUAACUUCGGGAGAAGGUGCGCCGGUGAGGGUGAAGGACUUGCUCCGUAAGCUCAUGCCGGUCGAAGAUACCAGGCCGCUGCGACUGUUUAUUAAAAACACAGCACUCUGCAAACACGAAAGUGGACGUAUAGGGUGUGACGCCUGCCCGGUGCCGGAAGGUUAAUUGAUGGGGUUAGCUAACGCGAAGCUCUUGAUCGAAGCCCCGGUAAACGGCGGCCGUAACUAUAACGGUCCUAAGGUAGCGAAAUUCCUUGUCGGGUAAGUUCCGACCUGCACGAAUGGCGUAACGAUGGCGGCGCUGUCUCCACCCGAGACUCAGUGAAAUUGAAAUCGCUGUGAAGAUGCAGUGUAUCCGCGGCUAGACGGAAAGACCCCGUGAACCUUUACUAUAGCUUUGCACUGGACUUUGAAUUUGCUUGUGUAGGAUAGGUGGGAGGCUUUGAAGCGUGGACGCCAGUCUGCGUGGAGCCAUCCUUGAAAUACCACCCUGGCAACUUUGAGGUUCUAACUCAGGUCCGUUAUCCGGAUCGAGGACAGUGUAUGGUGGGUAGUUUGACUGGGGCGGUCUCCUCCUAAAGAGUAACGGAGGAGUACGAAGGUGCGCUCAGACCGGUCGGAAAUCGGUCGUAGAGUAUAAAGGCAAAAGCGCGCUUGACUGCGAGACAGACACGUCGAGCAGGUACGAAAGUAGGUCUUAGUGAUCCGGUGGUUCUGUAUGGAAGGGCCAUCGCUCAACGGAUAAAAGGUACUCCGGGGAUAACAGGCUGAUACCGCCCAAGAGUUCAUAUCGACGGCGGUGUUUGGCACCUCGAUGUCGGCUCAUCACAUCCUGGGGCUGAAGCCGGUCCCAAGGGUAUGGCUGUUCGCCAUUUAAAGUGGUACGCGAGCUGGGUUUAGAACGUCGUGAGACAGUUCGGUCCCUAUCUGCCGUGGACGUUUGAGAUUUGAGAGGGGCUGCUCCUAGUACGAGAGGACCGGAGUGGACGAACCUCUGGUGUUCCGGUUGUCACGCCAGUGGCAUUGCCGGGUAGCUAUGUUCGGAAUAGAUAACCGCUGAAAGCAUCUAAGCGGGAAACUAGCCUCAAGAUGAGAUCUCACUGGAACCUUGAGUUCCCUGAAGGGCCGUCGAAGACUACGACGUUGAUAGGUUGGGUGUGUAAGCGCUGUGAGGCGUUGAGCUAACCAAUACUAAUUGCCCGUGAGGCUUGACCAU
RNAcentral lists this ribosomal RNA (2890 nucleotides) under Pseudomonas rhodesiae. Its description in RNAcentral is "bacterial LSU rRNA". It matches the Rfam family "Bacterial large subunit ribosomal RNA". Lineage: Bacteria; Pseudomonadati; Pseudomonadota; Gammaproteobacteria; Pseudomonadales; Pseudomonadaceae. The record is from RNAcentral.